Molecule: RNA transcript, 919 nt
Organism: Choloepus didactylus (southern two-toed sloth)
Lineage: Eukaryota; Metazoa; Chordata; Mammalia; Pilosa; Megalonychidae
Gene: CFAP299
Gene name: cilia and flagella associated protein 299
Exons: 7
Source: RefSeq, a predicted model, not a curated record
UACAAUGGAUCAAGAGGAAGGCCUGACCUCCUUGGACAAUAUAGUCACUCAGUUCAACACCUAUGAAGAUUUUCUCGACUCGCAGAUCACUACUGUGGACUUAUACUAUCUGGAGGAUGAAAGUCUGGCCCGCCAGUUGGUGGAGCUAGGCUACCGAGGGACUGGGGAAGUGGUGAAAAGGGAAGAUUUUGAAGCAAGGAAGACAGCUAUAGAGAUUGCAAGGCUGGCUGAAAGAACACAGAAAAAGACACUAACAAGUGCUGGGAAAGACCUGAAGGAUAAUUUUCUGAAGGCCCUAGCAUUGAGAGAAGAAGACAAUCGGAGUGGAAAAGUGAGCUCUGUGAUCUUUAUUCGUGACAGAAAUGCUCAUGGGCAGGAGGUGUCAGGAUACAUUGACUAUGCCCAUAGACUGAAGAUUGAAGAUUUUGAAGUCUACUUUAGUGGGAAAAAAAGACUUCUUCCUAAGUCCACAGAUAUGAGCUUUUACAACUGGGACAGUCAGAUUGCUGUUUGGAAUUCAAGUCCCAAUUACCAAGUGAUUCCUGAUAAUCCAGAAGGUUUACUUUUCAAAUACAAAAGAGAUAGAAAAAUUCUCAAUGUGGACCCUAAGCCCUCUGCUUUGGCCUAAAAGGAGUCCUAGAAAUCCUGACUCAACCCACUGGAGAUGCAGUCUGAAAGUUGUCUAACCAAUGUCAUCUCAACUUUGCAGUGUUAACAAUUUUGGAGUACGUGGUAUAGUUCUUUUCUACAAGAUCCUGAGACAGUUCUGCAUUGAAGAUGCAGAUUGUGACCUGUAAGGUUCCACCAGGUGACAACUCAACUAGAACGCCUAUACAAACCAAACUCUACAUACAAGCUGUCAUUUUUGACCACGUUUCCAGAAGAAAGACCUAACUACCUAACUAUCAACAUAUUAAAU